GUAGGAAUCUAUCCAUAGGUUAGGAAUAGCCCGCCGAAAGGUGGGGUAAUACCGAAUAAUCUCGCGCUAUGCGCGAGCAAAGGGCGUAACUGCCCGCCAAUGGAGGAGCCUGCGGCCUAUCAGCUUGUUGGUAGGGUAAUGGCCUACCAAGGCUACGACGGGUAGGGGGCGUGAGAGCGUGACCCCCCAGAAUGGGACUGAGACACGGCC
Molecule: ribosomal RNA, 210 nt
Filed under: uncultured bacterium
Lineage: Bacteria
Description: partial 16S ribosomal RNA
Rfam family: Bacterial small subunit ribosomal RNA
Source: RNAcentral